Mytilus californianus (California mussel) is the source of this 456-nucleotide long non-coding RNA. RefSeq lists it as uncharacterized. The transcript is spliced from 4 exons. The record is from RefSeq and is a predicted model, not a curated record. Lineage: Eukaryota; Metazoa; Mollusca; Bivalvia; Mytilida; Mytilidae.
AUGUAUAAAGUGGUUUACCUUCUUUACAAAUACUUCGAAGCGACAACUUAACACAAGAAGAAAUUGAAGGAACCAUCUAAAAACAGUCUUAAAUUUGUACAAAGAUGUGCUUGAAAAUCCUCGAGAAAUUUAUACUGUUCGGCCUGAUUUUUAUCCUCUUCUUCAUACACCAGGGAUCCUUAGUUUUGUUGAUAAGCCAAAGGGAAUUGGAGUCAACAAACGAAUGGAAAUCGGUUACUCUUUUGAUUGUACUGUUUCCAUAUGUUGCCUCAUUGUUAUCACAAAUAUGGACAUCAUCAUUUUCAACAGAAGGGAAAUGGAAGGAGUGGCCCCAUUGGGGAUCGCUGUUAUUGAUGUAACGUCAUCGACAACGUCUUGACAACACCCAUUGUAGUAUGACGUCAGGAGUAUUUCACAAAUGAAACUAUCGGUUUUUAUUUCACUGGGAAAUCACGG